GUCCUACCCAGUGUGAGGUGGAGAGACUCGCAGCCACUACCUAUGGGCAUGCCUACGUGCCGUCCUGCGAUGCAGGCGGGGCGUACCGACGGGCGCAAUGCCAACGGGAAGGCCCAUGCUGGUGUGUGGAUGCCAACGGGCGGGAGAUCCACGCAACUCGGAGCCAGGGGGACCGCCCUACUUGUGGCUCAGAGAGGCCGUGUGUUUCCGAGAGGCGGAGGGCCGUGUCCGGACUUCUCUACGGACCCUCCGGACCACUGGGCCGAGGUGGUCCGACCUCCGGUCUGGAAGAACGUGCGCAGCCCCAGGAGGAUGCCCGCCCGGCCGGGUCCUGCCCUCUGACCUUCGAGGAGCUGCUGGUGGGCUCGGAGCAGCUUCCCGAUCCCGAGCGGAGGCCCGACCCCGGGCGGCGGUCCGGCCCCAGUCGGCGCCCCGCCUGGCAGACCGUCCUCGGCGAGUUGGUGAGGGGGCUGUUCCCCACCCGGGAGCUGGCCCUCACGGCCCUCCGACUGGCCCGUGGCCCACGGCGGCUCCAGCGGGACCUGUUCGGGGGGAUGUUCCUGACCCGGCUGGGGCACCGGAACCUGUCAGGGGCAGUGGGUCCCCGGAGCACGGCGGACCUCAGCCGGUUCUUCCAGCCUCGGGGGGCACGGGGACCGGCCGGCCUGCCGCCUGACGGGGACGGCGUGGGACGUCUGGACACCCUGCUGACCCGCCCGGACUUCCUGCCCUUCCUGCGGCGCGUGGCGGCCGUUCCCUCCCCCCUUGCCCGGGACCUCGGCGAGGCGGUCCGCACGGUCCUUGAGGCCCAAGGCU
RNAcentral lists this long non-coding RNA (816 nucleotides) under Ornithorhynchus anatinus (platypus). RNAcentral's name for it is "lncRNA (ENSOANG00000050288.1)". The record is from RNAcentral. Lineage: Eukaryota; Metazoa; Chordata; Mammalia; Monotremata; Ornithorhynchidae.